This 492-nucleotide ribosomal RNA is filed under the name uncultured bacterium. RNAcentral describes it as "partial 16S ribosomal RNA". It matches the Rfam family "Bacterial small subunit ribosomal RNA", at positions 29 to 507 of the family's 1533-position model. The record is from RNAcentral.
AUUGAACGCUGGCGGCAGGCCUAACACAUGCAAGUCGAGCGGAAGCACAGUAAUAGCUCGUGGUUACGGGGGGCGACGGGCGGACGAGUGAUAGGUACAUCGCAGGCUGCUGGGGCUUGGGUGAGGACGUAGGGGAACAUACGGUAUUAGCGCAUAGGGCGAACGGGGGGGAUCAGGGGAUCUUCGGACCUUAGGUGAGUCUAGGAGCCGAUGUCGGAUUAGCUAGUUGGCGGGGUAAAGGCCUACCAAGGCGACGAUCCGUAGCUGGUCUGAGAGGAUGAUCAGCCACACUGGAACUGAGACACGGUCCAGACUCCUACGGGAGGCAGCAGUGGGGAAUAUUGGACAAUGGGCGAAAGCCUGAUCCAGCCAUGCCGCGUGGGUGAAGAAGGUCUUCGGAUUGUAAAGCCCUUUUGUUUGGGAAGAAAAGCAGCAGGUUAAUACCUCGCUGUUUUGACGGUACCAAAAGAAUAAGCACCGGCUAACUUCGUG